This 482-nucleotide ribosomal RNA is filed under the name Abiotrophia defectiva. Its description in RNAcentral is "bacterial SSU rRNA". It matches the Rfam family "Bacterial small subunit ribosomal RNA", at positions 28 to 487 of the family's 1533-position model. The record is from RNAcentral. Lineage: Bacteria; Bacillati; Bacillota; Bacilli; Lactobacillales; Aerococcaceae.
GACGAACGCUGGCGGCGUGCCUAAUACAUGCAAGUCGAACGAACCGCGACUAGGUGCUUGCACUUGGUCAAGGUGAGUGGCGAACGGGUGAGUAACACGUGGGUAACCUACCUCAUAGUGGGGGAUAACAGUCGGAAACGACUGCUAAUACCGCAUAGGACAUAGGAUCACAUGAUCCAGUGAGGAAAGGUGGCGCAAGCUAUCGCUAAGAGAUGGACCCGCGGUGCAUUAGCUAGUUGGUAGGGUAAAGGCCUACCAAGGCGAUGAUGCAUAGCCGACCUGAGAGGGUGAUCGGCCACAUUGGGACUGAGACACGGCCCAAACUCCUACGGGAGGCAGCAGUAGGGAAUCUUCCGCAAUGGACGCAAGUCUGACGGAGCAACGCCGCGUGAGUGAAGAAGGUCUUCGGAUCGUAAAGCUCUGUUGUUAGAGAAGAACAGCGCAUAGAGUAACUGUUAUGCGUGUGACGGUAUCUAACCAGA